CCCUUAGAGUUUGAUCCUGGCUCAGGAUGAACGCUAGCUACAGGCUUAACACAUGCAAGUCGCGGGGCAGCAUGUCGGUUGCUUGCAACCGAUGAUGGCGACCGGCGCACGGGUGAGUAACGCGUAUCCAACCUGCCCUUCACCACGGAAUAAUCCAGUGAAAAUUGGUCUAAUACCGUAUGAGGUCAUACGAUGGCAUCAGAAUAUGACGAAAGGUUUGGCGGUGAAGGAUGGGGAUGCGUCUGAUUAGCUUGUUGGUGAGGUAACGGCUCACCAAGGCGACGAUCAGUAGGGGUUCUGAGAGGAAGGUCCCCCACAUUGGAACUGAGACACGGUCCAAACUCCUACGGGAGGCAGCAGUGAGGAAUAUUGGUCAAUGGGCGAGAGCCUGAACCAGCCAAGUAGCGUGCAGGAAGAGGGCCCUAUGGGUUGUAAACUGCUUUUAUAUGGGGAUAAAGUGAGUUACGUGUAGCUUAUUGCAGGUACCAUAUGAAUAAGGACCGGCUAAUUCCGUGCCAGCAGCCGCGGUAAUACGGAAGGUCCGGGCGUUAUCCGGAUUUAUUGGGUUUAAAGGGAGCGUAGGCCGGAGAUUAAGCGUGUUGUGAAAUGUAGAUGCUCAACAUCUGAACUGCAGCGCGAACUGGUUUCCUUGAGUACGCACAAAGUGGGCGGAAUUCGUGGUGUAGCGGUGAAAUGCUUAGAUAUCACGAAGAACUCCGAUUGCGAAGGCAGCUCACUGGAGCGCAACUGACGCUGAAGCUCGAAAGUGCGGGUAUCGAACAGGAUUAGAUACCCUGGUAGUCCGCACGGUAAACGAUGGAUGCCCGCUGUUGGUCUGAAUAGGUCAGCGGCCAAGCGAAAGCAUUAAGCAUCCCACCUGGGGAGUACGCCGGCAACGG
Molecule: ribosomal RNA, 899 nt
Filed under: uncultured bacterium
Lineage: Bacteria
Description: bacterial SSU rRNA
Rfam family: Bacterial small subunit ribosomal RNA
Source: RNAcentral